UACGUAGGGUGCAAGCGUUGUCCGGAAUUAUUGGGCGUAAAGAGCUCGUAGGCGGUCUGUCGCGUCGGCUGUGAAAACUCGGGGCUCAACUCCGAGCUUGCAGUCGAUACGGGCAGGCUAGAGUUCGGCAGGGGAGACUGGAAUUCCUGGUGUAGCGGUGAAAUGCGCAGAUAUCAGGAGGAACACCGGUGGCGAAGGCGGGUCUCUGGAACGCAACUGACGCUGAGACGCGAAAGCGUGGGGAGCAAACAGG
This 253-nucleotide ribosomal RNA is filed under the name uncultured bacterium. Its description in RNAcentral is "partial 16S ribosomal RNA". It matches the Rfam family "Bacterial small subunit ribosomal RNA", at positions 524 to 776 of the family's 1533-position model. The record is from RNAcentral.